UACGGUGCUGAAGCAACAAAUGCCCUGCUUCCAGGAAAAGCCUCUAAGCAUCAGGUAACAUCAAAUCGUACCCCAAACCGACACAGGUGGUCAGGUAGAGAAUACCAAGGCGCUUGAGAGAACUCGGGUGAAGGAACUAGGCAAAAUGGUGCCGUAACUUCGGGAGAAGGCACGCUGACACGUAGGUGAAGUGAUUUACUCAUGGAGCUGAAGUCAGUCGAAGAUACCAGCUGGCUGCAACUGUUUAUUAAAAACACAGCACUGUGCAAACACGAAAGUGGACGUAUACGGUGUGACGCCUGCCCGGUGCCGGAAGGUUAAUUGAUGGGGUCAGCGCAAGCGAAGCUCCUGAUCGAAGCCCCGGUAAACGGCGGCCGUAACUAUAACGGUCCUAAGGUAGCGAAAUUCCUUGUCGGGUAAGUUCCGACCUGCACGAAUGGCGUAAUGAUGGCCAGGCUGUCUCCACCCGAGACUCAGUGAAAUUGAACUCGCUGUGAAGAUGCAGUGUACCCGCGGCAAGACGGAAAGACCCCGUGAACCUUUACUAUAGCUUGACACUGAACAUUGAGCCUUGAUGUGUAGGAUAGGUGGGAGGCUUUGAAGUGUGGACGCCAGUCUGCAUGGAGCCGACCUUGAAAUACCACCCUUUAAUGUUUGAUGUUCUAACGUGGACCCGUGAUCCGGGUUGCGGACAGUGUCUGGUGGGUAGUUUGACUGGGGCGGUCUCCUCCUAAAGAGUAACGGAGGAGCACGAAGGUUGGCUAAUCCUGGUCGGACAUCAGGAGGUUAGUGCAAUGGCAUAAGCCAGCUUGACUGCGAGCGUGACGGCGCGAGCAGGUGCGAAAGCAGGUCAUAGUGAUCCGGUGGUUCUGAAUGGAAGGGCCAUCGCUCAACGGAUAAAAGGUACUCCGGGGAUAACAGGCUGAUACCGCCCAAGAGUUCAUAUCGACGGCGGUGUUUGGCACCUCGAUGUCGGCUCAUCACAUCCUGGGGCUGAAGUAGGUCCCAAGGGUAUGGCUGUUCGCCAUUUAAAGUGGUACGCGAGCUGGGUUUAGAACGUCGUGAGACAGUUCGGUCCCUAUCUGCCGUGGGCGCUGGAGAACUGAGGGGGGCUGCUCCUAGUACGAGAGGACCGGAGUGGACGCAUCACUGGUGUUCGGGUUGUCAUGCCAAUGGCACUGCCCGGUAGCUAAAUGCGGAAGAGAUAAGUGCUGAAAGCAUCUAAGCACGAAACUUGCCCCGAGAUGAGUUCUCCCUGAGACUUAGAGUCUCCUGAAGGAACGUUGAAGACGACGACGUUGAUAGGCCGGGUGUGUAAGCGCAGCGAUGCGUUGAGCUAACCGGUACUAAUGAACCGUGAGGCUUAACCUUACAACGCCGAAG
Molecule: ribosomal RNA, 1383 nt
Filed under: Salmonella enterica
Lineage: Bacteria; Pseudomonadati; Pseudomonadota; Gammaproteobacteria; Enterobacterales; Enterobacteriaceae
Description: partial 23S ribosomal RNA
Rfam family: Bacterial large subunit ribosomal RNA
Source: RNAcentral